GACGAACGCUGGCGGCGUGCCUAAUACAUGCAAGUAGAACGCUGAAGGAGGAGCUUGCUUCUCUGGAUGAGUUGCGAACGGGUGAGUAACGCGUAGGUAACCUGCCUGGUAGCGGGGGAUAACUAUUGGAAACGAUAGCUAAUACCGCAUAAUAGCAGUUGUUGCAUGACAACUGUUUGAAAGGUGCAAUUGCACCACUACCAGAUGGACCUGCGUUGUAUUAGCUAGUUGGUGGGGUAACGGCUCACCAAGGCGACGAUACAUAGCCGACCUGAGAGGGUGAUCGGCCACACUGGGACUGAGACACGGCCCAGACUCCUACGGGAGGCAGCAGUAGGGAAUCUUCGGCAAUGGACGGAAGUCUGACCGAGCAACGCCGCGUGAGUGAAGAAGGUUUUCGGAUCGUAAAGCUCUGUUGUAAGAGAAGAACGAGUGUGAGAGUGGAAAGUUCACACUGGGACGGUAUCUUACCAGAAAGGGACGGCUAACUACGU
RNAcentral lists this ribosomal RNA (494 nucleotides) under uncultured bacterium. RNAcentral describes it as "partial 16S ribosomal RNA". It matches the Rfam family "Bacterial small subunit ribosomal RNA", at positions 28 to 506 of the family's 1533-position model. The record is from RNAcentral.